CCAUGACCUACUAGCUAUACUACAGAGAUAUCAUCAGGAGUACUUAGCGAGGUGUCACCCUCGGUACCCAAUAGUAUCUCUGUAGCGUCGUACAACUAAGGGGGUUGUAUGUGCUGUGUCGGGUCUGGCUCGUCGAUCAGGGAUCGAGAUUUGAAAGCAAAGUGGAGCAACUGGACUACGGGGUCAGAAGGGAUGACUGCUCCACCUAUACUAACCAGAUUUGAAGUAUAGUACUGAAAGUAGGAGUUCAUCAAAAAUAGGCAAUGCAUCAGAUAUAGGAGCUAACUACAACAGUAGCAAAAUUAUAAUUCAAGCAUGAAGAAGAAAGAAUAGGCGAUAUAGGAAUGAUCAAGGGGGGAUUGCUUGCCUUGUUGCUCUGCGGCAAAGGCUGGUCGGCAGGGUCGUAGAUGUACCCGACAGCAGUGUGAGUCUCGGGGUCUACCGGUAAGAAGAGGGGGAAGAAACAAUAAAUAAUAGAAACGGUGCAACAUGAUGCAUGUCAUGGCAAUAUGCAGCUAGGCAUGAGCUAACGCAGGAAACAUCCGUCAUAGAUGGGUCGGAAGAAUAUCUCACGAUAUUAUCCGGGUCUCGGGCUACUACCUGACGGACGAAAGAUGAUGGAAAAGUUCCACGUUUGCUAUGCUAGGGACGCGUGACAAACGAAUAGAACGUGUAUCCUGGUUCGUGUCGUUCUGCUGAUUAACUUUCAUGUUGAAAAUAUUUUGAUCUGACUUGCGGAUUAUUUAAUUAGAUUUAAUUAAAUUGAUUAAAUGCAAUUAUGACAUCGCAUCAUGCUGACAUCACAAGUUGACAGGUCAACUGACCAGUGGGUCUCAUGCGUCAUAGAUCCAGUUUUUAAUUAGGGUUAAUUAUUAAUUAAUCAGGUUAAUUUAGUGGGGGACCCACGUGUCAUACUCUAAUUAUCCUAAUU
This 931-nucleotide long non-coding RNA is filed under the name Hordeum vulgare. RNAcentral describes it as "long non-coding RNA (HVUL_LNC015686)". The record is from RNAcentral. Lineage: Eukaryota; Viridiplantae; Streptophyta; Magnoliopsida; Poales; Poaceae.